This 1361-nucleotide long non-coding RNA is filed under the name Nicotiana benthamiana. Its description in RNAcentral is "long non-coding RNA (NBEN_LNC021275)". The record is from RNAcentral. Lineage: Eukaryota; Viridiplantae; Streptophyta; Magnoliopsida; Solanales; Solanaceae.
CCAAGUUGGAGGGGAAAACCACCUUCAACUUGCGCAAAAGAUCAUGAUGAACAGUGCCAGGCAACGGUAUGGUGAGAACAUCAGCUAACUGUUGAGAAGUGGAAACAUGAGAUAGAGAAAUCAGCCCAUCAGAAAGUUUGGUCCGGACAAAAUGACAAUCAACUUCAAUGUGCUUGGUCCACUCAUGAAAAACUGGAUUCCUGGCUACAUGUAAAGUAGCCUGGUUAUCACAAAAGACAGAGAAAGGAUAAAAUGACAAUCAACCUCAAUGUGCUUGGUCCGCUCAUGAAAACCUGGAUUCCUGGCUAUAUGUAAAGCAACCUGGUUAUCACAAAAGACAGAGAAAGGAAGAGACACAGAAACACCAAGGUCAGUAAGCAAUCUGGAAAACCAAGACAAUUCAGCAACCACCUUGCUAAGCGCCCUGUACUCUGCCUCAGCAGAAGAUAAAGAUAUCACUGGUUGUUUUUUGGACUUCCAACUAACCAAGCUGCCCCCUAAUAUCACACAGAAACCAGUGACAGAUCUGCGAGUAUCAGGGCAAGCUGCCCAGUCACUGUCUAAGAACAUGUAGGGCAGCAGACAUGUGAGGUAAUCUAGGAGACUUCAAGAACUGGCUCAAAUGCUGUACAUCAAAGGAAAUGUCAGGCCUUGUAUGUGUCACAAAUAGAAGUUUCCAAAAUGAGGCUUCUAUACUUGUCAGGAGAAUGUACAACAAAGCAAAUAUCAGGUCGGGUAUGUGUCAAAAACAAAAGCUUCCCAAUGAGGCUUCUAUACUUGUCAGGAGAAGGGAAAAGAUCACCAGAGUCAGCAUGCAAUUUAGUAUUAAGGUCUAAAGGACAAGUGACAGAAGAAACUGCAGAGCAGUCAAAUUGCUGCAACAAGUCAGAGACAAACUUCUUUUGAUUAAGAAGUACCCCCCACCAGGAAUAGAAGACACCUCAAUUCCCAGAAAAUAAUGUAAAGACCCCAGGUCUUUGAUUUUAAACUGAUCAUCCAAGAAAUGUUUUAGGGCAGUAGUUUCAGUGGUAUCAUCUCCAGUGAUAAUGAUAUCAUCCACAUACACUGCCAGCAACACAAGACAGCUAGGAUGGCCUUUGAUAAACAGAGAGUAAUCAUUCAGAGAGUGGACAUAACCUCAGGAAUAUAAAGAUUGAGACAAUUUGGCAUACCAUUGUCUUGAAGCCUGCCUUAACCCAUAGAGGGACUUCUUCAAUUUGCACACAAAGAGAGUGGAAACAGAAGAAACAGUAGGAGCAGAAAUGUGCAAACCUGGAGGUAGCUUCAUAUACACUUCCUCAUCUAGGUCACCAUGCAAGAAGGCAUUGUUGACAUCAAGUUGAAAAAGAUCUCAAUGUUUC